AACGAACGCUGGCGGCAGGCUUAACACAUGCCAGUCGAACGCAUCCUUCGGGGUGAGUGGCAGACGGGUGAGUAACGCGUGGGAACGUGCCCUCCAGUUCGGGAUAACCCAGGGAAACUUGGGCUAAUACCGGAUACGUGCGAGAGCAGGAAGAUUUAUCGCUGAAGGAUCGGCCCGCGUCUGAUUAGCUAGUUGGUGGGGUAAUGGCCCACCAAGGCGACGAUCAGUAGCUGGUCUGAGAGGAUGAUCAGCCACAUUGGGACUGAGACACGGCCCAAACUCCUACGGGAGGCAGCAGUGGGGAAUAUUGGACAAUGGGCGCAAGCCUGAUCCAGCCAUGCCGCGUGAGUGAUGAAGGCCUUAGGGUUGUAAAGCUCUUUCGUCCGGGACGAUAAUGACGGUACCGGAAGAAGAAGCCCCGGCUAACUUCGUGCCAGCAGCCGCUGUAA
Molecule: ribosomal RNA, 449 nt
Filed under: uncultured bacterium
Lineage: Bacteria
Description: partial 16S ribosomal RNA
Rfam family: Bacterial small subunit ribosomal RNA
Source: RNAcentral